This 253-nucleotide ribosomal RNA is filed under the name uncultured bacterium. RNAcentral's name for it is "partial 16S ribosomal RNA". It matches the Rfam family "Bacterial small subunit ribosomal RNA", at positions 524 to 776 of the family's 1533-position model. The record is from RNAcentral.
UACGUAGGGAGCAAGCGUUGUCCGGAAUCAUUGGGCGUAAAGCGCGCGUAGGUGGCCUCGUAAGUCCGCUGUGAAAGUCAAAGGCUCAACCUUUGAAAGCCGGUGGAUACUGCAGGGCUAGAGUACGGAAGAGGCGAGUGGAAUUCCUGGUGUAGCGGUGGAAUGCGCAGAUAUCAGGAGGAACACCAAUAGCGAAGGCAGCUCGCUGGGACGUUACUGACACUGAGGCGCGAAAGCGUGGGGAGCGAACAGG